AAAGGUAUGUAUUUUAUAUAUUUAGAAUAUAAUGUUAGUAUACUUUUAUUUUAUAUUAUGUGUCAUUUAAUAUAUUAGGAAAGAAGUGAAAAGAAUAAAAAUGCUAGAAAGCAAAGGAUAAUGAAUCAGACCACGGGAAGGACAUCUUUUUCUCAAGUGCAACAAACAUUGGUAGAUCUUUUUAUCAUAUUAUAAUUUUAUGUGCAUCUAAUUAUAGAAAUUAGUAACUAAAUAUAUUUUCAGGAAAAAGAAAAGGGACAUCCUCCAACACGAGUUGAAUUAUUUCAUGCUUGUUUUACUCAUGCUAAUGGAAGUCCCUCAAGUAAUAUUGUAAAAGAAAGAUUGGCUGCAAUGAAAGAACUAGAAAAUCAACUUCCUGAAGAUUACAAUGAUCAAGUGAGCCAGAAUGAUAUAUUUGCUCAAACAUGGGACCAGAUAAACCCGGUCGAGUACAUAUGCUUGGUGAUGGAAUUAGCCCAUCUGAUUUAUGGGGAGUAGUUCCUAGUCGUGGCACAUGCAAUCGACUAGUUAUGGAACAGAAUGCAAAGUUAGAACAGAUGAAUGAACAAAUCAAAAAGCAAGGCCAACAUAUUACAAUGUUAGAAACAAAGAUUUCUGAACAAUCAAGCACAAAUCCUCUUUCAAAUUGUAAUAAUAGUCAACACACUUCAUCGAGUAGCAAUCCACAAGGUUCUAUUCCAUCUCAUCGAACCUUACAUGAGUGCUCCUCAACAUGGAUCCAAAUAAUAUAGUAGGGAGACAAAAACUAGGACCAAAUUGGUGUGAAGUACAAGUACUAGUUGUCCUAGAACCCGAAGAAAAUUUAAUUAGACCUUAUGAUCUUUUACAAAGGUUUGAGGAUA
This is an RNA transcript of Zingiber officinale, 863 nucleotides long. RefSeq lists it as uncharacterized. The transcript has 3 exons. NCBI's taxonomy places the organism in Eukaryota, Viridiplantae, Streptophyta, Magnoliopsida, Zingiberales, Zingiberaceae. The record is from RefSeq and is a predicted model, not a curated record.